UACAUGUGAUUAUUAUGUAUUUACAUCAAGCAAAGCAAGCAAGCAAGCUGCAGCAUACACGACGGUGACAAUGCCUCCUCCUCCUCAAUACGAACUUGACGGCGGCUCUCGUUUUCGCAAUGUCAAGUUCGCUCCCAUCUCCGACCGCGAGAAAAAUAUCCUUCGCCAUCUCACAGGCAAGCUCACUUCCCUCUCCGAAACCCAGAUAUACCUCCUCUCCGAUGAAGAGUUAACUCGCCACGUCGUGUACGAGUUAUCUCACCUACCCUACGACGAGUUCUGUCGUUUCUUGGCGGCCGAGAUUUCCCCCUUCUUACCUAUCAUCGAUCGAGCAUAUUUAUAUCUGUUAUCUCAGAUUUACCGUAAAGUCGAAGCCAAACCCAAAGAGGAAGAACAAACGGGGAUAGUUGUUUUGAUUGUCGCCUCAGUUUCUAUCUUCGUAGUCACAACAAGAUUGGUGCGCAAUUUCUGCCAGUGGUUGAACACAAGAUUGCAAUAUUCUAAAGGUGAUUUCGUUGUUACUACUACCAUUUCUCUUAAGCCGGAGAAACCUUCAAAUAGUCCCAUUUUUUUCUCUAAAUAUUCAAUACCUGAACCUGAAGGUCUCCAGGGUUUUAAAGACAUUAUAUACCUUCGAAAAGCAAGACAGGAGCGACUGAUACCUUCAAAUAGACCCAUCGUUUCCUCCAAAUAUUCAAGAAGUGCAGAUGUGCAGGGUUAUAAAGUCAUUCAAAAAGCCAAAACAGUUUUUUGACAGAAAGUUGAGCAGCAUCAGGAAGGCACAUAUAGAGUUGUUGUUUGAAGCAGUAGAUCUACUGGCAAAGAGAAAAUCAGAUUAGCUUAAGAGAAGUUUGUUCCAAAAGGAAAGAUUCAUGAAGGUUGUAUUUUUUUUUUUUGAAGCAGAAAGUUUGUCAUUUUCACAACGUUGAUUGCAUGAGUUGAAUUUUACGAUCGGGUUAUUUUGUAAAUAAAACUUUGUGUGGUACUUAGCUUGAAUGUCUUAUACGGUACUAUGUGCAAAAGGUCCCUAUAUAGGUUUGAUUUUAAUCCUGUAAAUUUUUUAUUUCAAUAAUUUUGGUUGGUCCCUCAACAAAUUUAUUUGAU
This is an RNA transcript of Trifolium pratense (red clover), 1104 nucleotides long. RefSeq lists it as uncharacterized. The transcript has 9 exons. The record is from RefSeq and is a predicted model, not a curated record. NCBI's taxonomy places the organism in Eukaryota, Viridiplantae, Streptophyta, Magnoliopsida, Fabales, Fabaceae.